UCAGACGAUGCGUCAUGCAUAUCAAUAAGCGGAGGAAAAGAAACUAACAAGGAUUCCCCUAGUAACGGCGAGUGAAGCGGGAAGAGCUCAAAUUUGAAAUCUUAAAGGGUUUCCCUUUACGAAUUGUAGUUUAAAGAAGUGUUUUCUGUUGAGGUUUUGGUAAAAGUUCUUUGGAAUAGGACAUCAUAGAGGGUGAGAAUCCCGUAUUUGACCUUUACUUUCAACUUUGUGAUACACUUUCAAAGAGUCGGAUUGUUUGGGAAUGCAGUCCAAAAUGGGUGGUAAAUUUCAUCUAAAGCUAAAUAUUGGCGAGAGACCGAUAGCGAACAGGUACCGUGAGGGAAAGAUGAAAAGAACUUUGAAAAGAGAGUUAAACAGUACGUGAAAUUGUCAAAAGGGAAGCGUUUGACACCAGUGUUGUUUUUCUGAAAAUCAAUUAAAGACUGUUUAUGCUAAGCUGUUUAGACUUUAUCAGCUAUCUGUUUAGUUUUGAGCUUUUCUUUAAUGCACUUUUCAGUUAACAAGUCAACAUCAAUUUCUUUUGCUGUAAAAAAGCUUGAGGAAGGUGGCUUGAGAUUCGUCUUAAGUGUUUAUAGCCUCUUGCCUAUGCAGUCGGAGAGAUUGAGGUCUGCAGCGUAGAUCCUUCGGGGCUAAAUGCAUUUGUGCUAAGUUAUAGCAUUUUAUAGACAACUUGUUGACUAUGAUUUGUCUUGUAGCUUACUCGCUUAUGUUAUUUUACCUACGCUUAGGAUGUUGACACACGCGCGUGCUCG
Molecule: ribosomal RNA, 773 nt
Filed under: uncultured Neocallimastigales
Lineage: Eukaryota; Fungi; Neocallimastigomycota; Neocallimastigomycetes; Neocallimastigales
Description: partial large subunit ribosomal RNA
Rfam family: Eukaryotic large subunit ribosomal RNA
Source: RNAcentral